This 807-nucleotide ribosomal RNA is filed under the name Agrococcus sp. LMR256. Its description in RNAcentral is "bacterial SSU rRNA". It matches the Rfam family "Bacterial small subunit ribosomal RNA", at positions 68 to 885 of the family's 1533-position model. Lineage: Bacteria; Bacillati; Actinomycetota; Actinomycetes; Micrococcales; Microbacteriaceae. The record is from RNAcentral.
GAUGAAGGAGGAGCUUGCUCCUCCGGAUUAGUGGCGAACGGGUGAGUAAUACGUGAGCAAUGUGCCCUUGACUCUGGGAUAAGCGCUGGAAACGGCGUCUAAUACCGGAUACGACCAUCGGAGGCAUCUCCUGGUGGUGGAAAGAACUUCGGUCAAGGAUCAGCUCACGGCCUAUCAGCUUGUUGGUGGGUAAUGGCUCACCAAGGCGACGACGGGUAGCCGGCCUGAGAGGGUGACCGGCCACACUGGGACUGAGACACGGCCCAGACUCCUACGGGAGGCAGCAGUGGGGAAUAUUGCACAAUGGGCGCAAGCCUGAUGCAGCAACGCCGCGUGAGGGACGAAGGCCUUCGGGUUGUAAACCUCUUUUAGCAGGGAAGAAGCGAGAGUGACGGUACCUGCAGAAAAAGCACCGGCUAACUACGUGCCAGCAGCCGCGGUAAUACGUAGGGUGCAAGCGUUGUCCGGAAUUAUUGGGCGUAAAGAGCUCGUAGGCGGUUUGUCACGUCUGCUGUGAAAACCCGAGGCUCAACCUCGGGCUUGCAGUGGGUACGGGCAGACUAGAGUGCGGUAGGGGAGAUUGGAAUUCCUGGUGUAGCGGUGGAAUGCGCAGAUAUCAGGAGGAACACCGAUGGCGAAGGCAGAUCUCUGGGCCGUAACUGACGCUGAGGAGCGAAAGCAUGGGGAGCAAACAGGCUUAGAUACCCUGGUAGUCCAUGCCGUAAACGUUGGGAACUAGAUGUGGGGACCAUUCCACGGUCUCCGUGUCGUAGCUAACGCAUUAAGUUCCCCGCCUGGGGAGUACGG